GGAGGCAGCAGUGGGGAAUCUUCCGCAAUGGACGAAAGUCUGACGGAGCAACGCCGCGUGAGUGAUGAAGGAUUUCGGUCUGUAAAGCUCUGUUGUUUAUGACGAAGUGCAGUGUGUGAACAAUGCAUUGCAAUGACGGUAGUAAACGAGGAAGCCACGGCUAACUACGUGCCAGCAGCCGCGGUAAUACGUAGGUGGCGAGCGUUGUCCGGAAUUAUUGGGCGUAAAGAGCAUGUAGGCGGCUUAAUAAGUCGAGCGUGAAAAUGCGGGGCUCAACCCCGUAUGGCGCUGGAAACUGUUAGGCUUGAGUGCAGGAGAGGAAAGGGGAA
RNAcentral lists this ribosomal RNA (329 nucleotides) under uncultured bacterium. Its description in RNAcentral is "bacterial SSU rRNA". It matches the Rfam family "Bacterial small subunit ribosomal RNA", at positions 344 to 666 of the family's 1533-position model. The record is from RNAcentral.